UAACUACCCAGACAGCACAUGUACGUCUGGCCGACGUCGGCCCAAUAUCGAAACGUCGGCCUCUAUACCUAAAACAUCUAUAAAACAUCGGCCUGGUGGAGGCCGAUAUAAUUUGGUCAGUGCUCUGUUCUCCAGCUCAUCAAUCGUCGGCCCUGAGUUGGUUCACGACCGCGGGCCGAUGCCGCGCUUCUCUGUGUGCGCGUGCCCAGUAUUCGUCUCUUUUAGCCACCCAGAGAGAGAGAAGAGGAUAAUCCCAGCGACAUCUGUGGCUCUGAGGCUUUCAGAAAUAAUCCGGUGAAAUAAUAUGGUGAGCUAUUGUUGCUGUUGCUUCUGAACUACAAAAUGAUUUUUACAUUUAUUAUUGAAUGAGACUGUACAUUAUAAAUGUAAUGCUUUAACUCUAGAUGUUUGUUUGUGUGAAUGCUGUGUGUGCUGUGAGUCCUGCGCGAGCGGGGAGCAGAGUUGCCAUGGAAACGGGGCAUCAACACAAAAACCGUUGCUGACAAGCAGUAAUCUCCGUCUCUCGCUGCGGUUUACACUGUUUUAGGUAAGUUUAGUCGCUAAAAUCACACAAAUAUUAUAUACAAAUGUUCCUGACACGUUUCUUGCUUGUUAUUGACAUGUUUCAAUUAGAUUUAUUUUAUAGAAACGGUUUAGUGUCUUCGGAAAUGUCCGUUAUCAUUUUAGCAGUUUUCAGGUAACGUUAGGCUAACUAUAUAGAUUGAUCUCUUGUUGAUGAAACUCUGGGCUUUUAAUCAAAUCUUCGAUUUGAUUAAAACAAAAUGAUAUUUAAAUUAAUUAUUGAAUGAUUAUUGAAUAAGACUGUACUUUAUAAAUGUAAUGUUUUAACUCUAGAUGUUUGUUUGUGUAAAUGCUGUGUGCGCGUUGAGUCCUGCUCAAUCGGGGAGCAGAGUUGCCAUGGAAACGGGGCGUCAACACAAAAACCGUUACUGGCAAACAGUAAUCUCCGUCUCUCGCUGCAGUUUACACUGUUUUGGAAACGGUUUAGUUUCUUCGAAAAAGUCCGUUAGCAUCUUAGCAGUUUUCAGGAGGACAGAAAGAAACUCUACAGAACAGAAGUGAAGCUCCAAGAUUUCAACAUUUCUGAAGGGAGAUUCUGACUUAGAAAUACAGGUGACCUGAAGAAGCUCAUGAAAAACAUGAAUAUGCCUUUUUCAGAAUACAUUUCACCAAUUUUAAGAAGUCCCUGACAUCAUAACCUUGUUUCCUUCUAAUGAACCUGGAACUGCAGAGUAAAUAUUGUUGACUCUGUGUCAGAUUGCUUGUUUUGUUCCUGGAUUCUUCAGUGAUGAUGAGCAGAGUCUGAGUGAACCUGCUGUCAGACAGGUUGGCCUGAUUGACGAUGCCAUCAUCCAUCGCCGAUAGCUGAUAGACAUCACGAUGCUGCGCUGGCAAACAGCGUCAUCAGCUCCAGUAUCUCGCGCGUGCAUCUGUUGUCAUGCGACAGAGAAGUCACGUUCUAUAGACAGUUUCUAUGGACAGUUGUGAACGUGCUGACAGCUGGUUGCCCAGGCUAUGGAUUAAAGGGCCAGCAGAGCCCUGCUCACCCUGACGGCCCACCGCUGCUGUCAGAUAACAUCUCCAAGAUGCUAUAAACUGCAGGACCAGAUGGCCAUCCCAAGGUUUCUAGAGAUUACAGCAGCUCCAGACUGAAUCCAAACUCACUUGUGAAGACUUCAGAUGACACCAACGCUCACAAAGACUACAGACAGACGACAACUGUGCAUGAACACACAAAACAUUGGACACACAAAACAAAUAUUAUCCUUAUUUUGCCUAUAAGGGUAAAUUUGAUGAUUUUCAAACUGCUUUAUUGUAACGUCUCUUAUAUCUGUAAAUGAACAAUAUUUACUCUCUGAGUUAUGUGGACCUACAUGUCCCCUUUUAUUUGUAAGCAUCACUUUAAAAAUGUUGAAAGAUAAUGUUAAUGUUAACUGAAUACAAAACUAGAGACUUGUUUAGUAAGAUUUUAUCAGAAAAUAUUUUUGAACUUUUAUCAUGCAAUUUAAAACGUUUUAAUUGCUUAAUUAGUAUUGUUUGCCUGGUUUUAUUUUGUGUUUAUGUAACUCUUUUUAAAAAGUUCUUGGCAUAAAGUUCGCAUGCGAUGCUGACAGCACUGAACACAUGACUUUUUAUUAUGAACUAGAUGGUCUUCCCCGGUGAGUCUCGGUCAUCUCUGGCUUUUUAAACUGUAACCUUGAAACAUGCAUUUCCUGUAAACCUACUUUGAAAUAAGUAUUGUCAAAAGGUGCUAUACUCAUACAACAUUUAACCAUGCAAGGACUGUAGUAAUGGUUAUUUUUGUUUUUACUAUGGGUUUACUGCAAAAGCUGUAGUAAAAUCAUGGUGAUUGUAGUAAAACUAUGGUUGAUUUAGUUUUUUCUAUGGUUUUACUGCAAAAGCUGUAGUAAAAUCAUGGUUAAUUUUCAAAAGACUACAAAUAAUCCCGAAUUAUCCACUUUUGAUCAAAGCAUCUGGUAAAUGUUAAUGUAUUUGUACAUGUAAUAUGAAAUAAAUGAAAAUAUUAAUAAAGUUGCAUCUGUUCUUGA
Long non-coding RNA from Carassius gibelio (silver crucian carp), 2570 nucleotides. RefSeq lists it as uncharacterized. The transcript is spliced from 8 exons. The record is from RefSeq and is a predicted model, not a curated record. Lineage: Eukaryota; Metazoa; Chordata; Actinopteri; Cypriniformes; Cyprinidae.